Myotis brandtii (Brandt's bat) is the source of this 1264-nucleotide long non-coding RNA. RefSeq lists it as uncharacterized. NCBI's taxonomy places the organism in Eukaryota, Metazoa, Chordata, Mammalia, Chiroptera, Vespertilionidae. The transcript is spliced from 3 exons. The record is from RefSeq and is a predicted model, not a curated record.
UUUUCAGUUCCAGUUUGCAUUCCGUGUGGUUUUGUGUUGCUUUCAGGUGUACGGCAUAGAGGGGGACAGUCACAUACUUUACAAAGUGGUCCCCCAGCAUGUCGGUGCCCCCUGGCACCACACCCAGUGACUGCAAUAUUAUUGGUGAGGUGCCCUGUUAGUCACAGGGAUGUAAAGUACAAAUUAUUUUCUAAAAGCGCUUGGUUAGUAUGGUCUUUCAGCAAAGGCUUAAGGAGUGAUGAUAGUGGCGGCUGGGAGCUGGGGACACAGAGGGCAGAGGCCCCCUUUCACCCCUCCUUCCGCACCCAUCUCCUGACCCCCCAAGGUCUGCUUUGCUCUCCCACCCUUGCCAGGGACCUUCCCUGCACCUCCUUCCCUGGAAAUGACUCCCCACCUCCUCCUGCCCCUCCAGUCCCCACAGGACACCCCAAUUCCCAGCAGCCUGGGCAGGUGGCCUCUGAGCAAUGGGGCCUCCAGAGGGUCCCCUGCCUCCAUCUCUCCCCUCAGCCCUGCUUUCUUGGUGGCGAGGCGAAAGGUGAGGCGGGGACAGAGAGAAAGAGGGAGGAGAAAUGGCUUCUUAUUUCACCAUCGUUUCCUCCAGGCUUUCACCCAUUUCCCCACACCCCAGGGGAGGGAGCAGGGGGCAGGCUUGGCCCAGAGAGCCCCCAUCCAGGCCCAGAGGCAGCGAGGCAGGGGCGGGUCCCCUGUAGGCCCAGGCCUCUCCUCCUCCCUGACCCCUCCCCACCUGCAGUCUUUGCCUUCCUCAGCUCUUCUUCCCAGACAGGCUGGGUGGCUGCUGACCAUGCCAGCUCUGGCGCCCUCUCCUCAGGGCGGCCGCUGCCACCCAGCACAGACAGAGGGCCAUGGCCUGGGAGGCCCCGCACCUGCUGCCCCUUGUCCUGCUGGUGCUCCUGGCCUCAGGCUCCUGGGAACAGCAGCCAGAGCUGCUGCGGAAACUGGAAGGGGAGGAAGUCUUCGUAAGGUGUGAUUACCCGCCCCAGAAUAGUUCAAAGACGAAAACCUGGUGCAGAAUAAUAGAAGGAAGCACUUGUACAUUAUUAGUCAACCAUCCCAGGCUUGGCGAGGAGCCUGGAAACCCACGAUACGUCAUCAGGGAUAACCCCCAACAGGGGUACUUCACCGUCACCAUGGCUGCGCUGGCAGAGACAGACUCGGGCUUGUAUUCGUGUGGACUCUAUGAAUCUCCCAGGAUCAACAUUCUCAGAACCAUCAGUCUGGCGGUCUCUCGGGCCCUCACACAAGC